UAUUACUUUGUGUCUCUUAGUCAACCUGAUCUGGUCCAUGUUCGUGGGGAGGGCUUCAUGGGCAAUCUCCACCCCAUGUCCACCCCAUGUCCACUCCCCCCGCACUCGCCCAUGCUGUCGCACAGACCAAAGCAGGCACUCCCGCACCCACUCCCUCAUAUCGAGGGGCACCAUCCAGCACCCCUCCCCCACUAAUGAUCCUUCCGCAGGUUCACCUACGGAAA
This 224-nucleotide unclassified non-coding RNA is filed under the name uncultured fungus. Its description in RNAcentral is "sequence contains ITS1". The record is from RNAcentral. Lineage: Eukaryota; Fungi.